This 374-nucleotide ribosomal RNA is filed under the name uncultured bacterium. RNAcentral describes it as "bacterial SSU rRNA". It matches the Rfam family "Bacterial small subunit ribosomal RNA", at positions 524 to 896 of the family's 1533-position model. The record is from RNAcentral.
UACGGAGGGUGCGAGCGUUAAUCGGAAUUACUGGGCGUAAAGGGUGCGUAGGUGGUUUAAUAAGUUAAGUGUGAAAGCCCUGGGCUCAACCUAGGAAGGCCAUUUAAGACUGUUAGACUUGAGUGUAGGAGAGGGUAGUGGAAUUUCCGGUGUAGCGGUGAAAUGCGUAGAGAUCGGAAGGAACACCAGUGGCGAAGGCGGCUACCUGGCCGGACACUGACACUGAAGCACGAAAGCGUGGGGAGCAAACAGGAUUAGAUACCCUGGUAGUCCACGCUGUAAACGAUGUCAACUAGCUGUUGGCCUCAUAGAAGGGGUUAGUGGCGCAGCUAACGCGAUAAGUUGACCGCCUGGGGAGUACGAUCGCAAGAUUA